This 357-nucleotide ribosomal RNA is filed under the name Epizoanthus sp. C JDR-2010. Its description in RNAcentral is "partial 16S ribosomal RNA". It matches the Rfam family "Bacterial large subunit ribosomal RNA", at positions 2117 to 2441 of the family's 2925-position model. Lineage: Eukaryota; Metazoa; Cnidaria; Anthozoa; Zoantharia; Epizoanthidae. The record is from RNAcentral.
GGGGUCGAAUUUAAAUGGAUAGCUUAGAUAUUGUGGUGCCAUAACCAUCGAUCAAGUAGUCCCUACGGGAUUACCCCCCCCGAAGGUUGACCUGUUUGGGUGAAUGAAACCCCACUCUUUUUUGUUAAAUGAGCUAACCCUUUCUCCCUUAAAGGGGGACAAUGUAAGUUGGACAGUUUGGUUGGGGCGACCGCCUUUUAAAGAGUAACGAAGGUGUGCUUAAGGUACACAAAUAAUAACACAAGCCUGACUGCGAGGGGGAGCCCUCCGAGCAGACACCUAAAGUAUCCUCCCAUCCUCCCGAAGGUUAAAGACGAAUGGUGGGCUAUAGUGACCCGUUGAUUUAGAGUGGAAUAG